Molecule: ribosomal RNA, 465 nt
Filed under: Vreelandella stevensii
Lineage: Bacteria; Pseudomonadati; Pseudomonadota; Gammaproteobacteria; Oceanospirillales; Halomonadaceae
Description: partial 16S ribosomal RNA
Rfam family: Bacterial small subunit ribosomal RNA
Source: RNAcentral
CCUACGGGCGGCUGCAGUGGGGAAUAUUGGACAAUGGGGGCAACCCUGAUCCAGCCAUGCCGCGUGUGUGAAGAAGGCCCUCGGGUUGUAAAGCACUUUCAGUGAGGAAGAACGCCUGGUGGUUAAUACCCAUCAGGAAAGACAUCACUCACAGAAGAAGCACCGGCUAACUCCGUGCCAGCAGCCGCGGUAAUACGGAGGGUGCGAGCGUUAAUCGGAAUUACUGGGCGUAAAGCGCGCGUAGGUGGCUUGAUAAGCCGGUUGUGAAAGCCCCGGGCUCAACCUGGGAACGGCAUCCGGAACUGUCAAGCUAGAGUGCAGGAGAGGAAGGUAGUAUUCCCGGUGUAGCGGUGAAAUGCGUAGAGAUCGGGAGGAAUACCAGUGGCGAAGGCGGCCUUCUGGACUGACACUGACACUGAGGUGCGAAAGCGUGGGUAGCAAACAGGAUUAGAUACCCUGGUAGUC